UACAGAGGAUGCAAGCGUUAUCCGGAAUGAUUGGGCGUAAAGCGUCUGUAGGUGGCUUUUUAAGUCCGCCGUCAAAUCCCAGGGCUCAACCCUGGACAGGCGGUGGAAACUACCAAGCUGGAGUACGGUAGGGGCAGAUGGAAUUUCCGGUGGAGCGGUGAAAUGCGUAGAGAUCGGAAAGAACACCAACUGCGAAAGCACUUUGCUGGGCCGUCACUGACGCUGAUAGACGAAAGCUAGGGGAUCGAACGGG
RNAcentral lists this ribosomal RNA (253 nucleotides) under uncultured bacterium. RNAcentral's name for it is "partial 16S ribosomal RNA". It matches the Rfam family "Bacterial small subunit ribosomal RNA", at positions 524 to 776 of the family's 1533-position model. The record is from RNAcentral.